Clupea harengus (Atlantic herring) is the source of this 2720-nucleotide long non-coding RNA. RefSeq lists it as uncharacterized. The transcript has 3 exons. The record is from RefSeq and is a predicted model, not a curated record. Lineage: Eukaryota; Metazoa; Chordata; Actinopteri; Clupeiformes; Clupeidae.
CUUACAAACACACAUACAUACACAAUCGAUAGGUUUUUGUAAAAAAAUAGUUCAUUGGUUAGCUUAAAUGACAGUCAUUUAUGCAAGCUGACUAAGUUUGAAAGACUUGAAAACUUCCAGACCUGAAGAUGAAGACCUGAAGACAAAAGAUCCUUUUUGAAGACAAAAGCCUCUGUUGAAGUUACCUAAACUUCAUCAGCAGAUUACACAUCCCCAUCCAGCUAAGUGUGCUACGUUGUGUUUUGUGUGUUUGUGAAGUGUAAGUGACAUAUUGUGUUUUAUUUAGACAUCCUUGAGAGAUGGAGAGUUUUGCACGUCUGGACGCUAUAUUUUAUUACCUUGCAAAUGGUUCCCACCAACUAGGGAGUAGUAGGAUACAGAUGUCUUCUGUCGGUAGAGCAGCAAAGCAGUAUGUGUUAGAUAUGGGUAAGUUGUACUAUGUUAAUUCAGGUAAGAGACGUCUAGUUGUACGUACUCCUGAGGAGAGGGACAGGGUACUGUAUGAGUGCCAUGACAGUGCAGCCACUGGAGAGCACCCACACAGAAGGCAGUGCAGAAUUUUUAUUGGCUGACUUUGAAAAAGGAUGUAGAGGAUUGGGUUGGUGCCUGUGAGCCAUGACAGAAUUAAGACUGUAGCACCUACGCUACACCCUAUUAAGGUCCAGGGUCCCUGGCAGGUCAUGGGAGUUGAUUUAAUUGGGCCGCUCAAAACGACAUCCAAGGGUUACACCCAUAUCAUAAGUUUUACUGAUUUGUUCUCCAAGUGGGUCAUGGCUAGGCCUCUGAGAGGCAAGAACGGUCCAGGGGUAGGACUUAUGGUGACACAAACUGUUUUGGCACAGGGUGGUGUCAAAAAGAUUAUCACUGAUAUGGGAAGAGAGUUUGUUAAUGACUGUAACAAAGCUCUUUUUGAAACCUUUGGGAUAGAGCAUGCUGUAACUUUAGCCUACCACCCGCAGAGCAAUGGGCAAGAUGAGCGCUCAAACCAGAACAUUAAGCGCCAUCUUGCAAAGUACUGUAAUGAGGAGCAGAAUGACUGGGACGUCUAUCUGCAACACGCUGUUUAUUCGAUAAACACCUCGAAGCAGCGUUCCACAAAGGUAAGCCCAUAUUUUGCAAUUUAUCGGGUUCAUCCCGGCAGCAGCGCCGAUCCAAAUGUAGAUGACUGAGAUCGCGAACAGUGAAGAGACGCUGCAGAGGAGGGCAGACUCACUUGCCAAAGUUCAUGCCAAGGUUCAGGAGAACAUUGCAAUUGCCCAGGGUAGACAGAAAUUGCAGUUUGAAACCCAGCAGAGGCGUAAUGUUAAAUGCUUUGAUGUCAAGGAGGGCGAUGAGGUCCUCGUGGCAGACCAAGAAAGCGGUGAAGUUAGGAAAUGCGAUGAAUGAACGUUGGGCUGGACCGUUUAAGGUGGAGUCCAUGACAGCCAAAAGAGUGUCCAGAUCUGUUGACAGUGAGGGUCUUUCAAAGUGAAGUCAGAUGGUGAAUGUUCGUUUUGCCAAAUGUUUUGCCAUUUGAAGCCAUAUGUUCGUCGAACAGACACGCCCAAGAUGUCGGCAUCGCUUCUGAUGUCCAGGAAUUGAGUGUAUUGUGCGACAUCUCGAUGGAAGCUGUAGGUGCUGAAUGUAGGUAUUUCUUCAUUUAUACAUCUCCACAUAUGUACUGUCAUGUCAAGUUCAAUGUAGAGUGUUGAAUGUGUUUCAUGUUCCUUUUUCCUAAAAGGUGCAGAUGUUGAUCACACACACAGCAAGGCAGCAGACACAGGUGAGGGCACAACCUUGUACAGAGAACAAACAUAUUUGUACAUACAUAGAUGUAUAUGUAUAGUAGAUGCUGAAUGGUUUGUGUUUGUGUGUGUGUUUUUCCCAAUUUCAGAUAUUCCUAUUCUCUAAAUAAGUUCAGAGGACGAGGUACAUUUUCUAAAAUGUAUUAGUGUUCGUUUCAAUGUAUUAGUUUCUUCUGCUUUCUUCUUUUGAUCUGUUGGUUAUUUAACUCAUUCACUGUUUUUCUGCAAAGGUAAAAUGGUCUAUAGUCUACCAUGGUGAACCAUCUUUUCCAUUUAGUAGUAGUUUGGGGUGGACAUUAUGUGUAACUUCUGUACACAUGCUUCCAAUCCAUCAGGUACUGACGCAACAGAUCCGCAAUGAUGUGGACAAAUACGCGUCUUGAUCAGCAUUGGAAGUUGUCGUGCCACGUUGCGCGACUUAGACAGUCUGGCAGGCCCAGAGUUCAACUGGCUGACCGAUGAUGUAAGUAAAACUUAGAAAUACAUUUUUAUUUUACUUUUUUCCUAUCAUGUUGUCGUCAAAUUUCUUUUUCUUUCUUGUAGAUUGUGAAUACGCGCGUUGCAGUGAUUGCUGCAGAUCACAAACAACGUUCCACUGUAAGUAGUUUCUAUUUUCUCUGUAGUCUGACAACCUACCAGUAUCUGUUAUUGUUUUGUAGAAGUUUACUCUGGUUUUUUUUGUCUUCACAAGACAAAGCAGUGUUCCACGCCCUUACCACAGACGCAUACACGUUGUGGUGUCGUGACUGGACAGCACAUAGUUGUGUUACGGAAAGAACUUUAAGCUGUAUCAAUGGCAUUAAGCCAGAUGGCGUGGUGCUACUGCCCCGUCUCGUAGGUCUGCGUUAAAAUAAAGCUUUACAGGUUUGGUCAGCGGACACCUGGGGUUAAAUGCGUAAGUUUGGUUGUCUCUCCAUUUUCCCCUUUAAAUGUAUG